Molecule: ribosomal RNA, 1389 nt
Filed under: uncultured bacterium
Lineage: Bacteria
Description: bacterial SSU rRNA
Rfam family: Bacterial small subunit ribosomal RNA
Source: RNAcentral
AGAGUUUGAUCCUGGCUCAGGAUGAACGCUAGCUACAGGCUUAACACAUGCAAGUCGAGGGGCAUCGCGGUGCAGCAAUGCACUGGCGGCGACCGGCGCACGGGUGAGUAACGCGUAUCCGACCUGGCCUUCACUCGGGUAUAGCCCCUCGAAAGAGGGAUUAAUCCCCGAUAUGUGGUAGAGUUACAUGGCACUUCCACGAAAGCGUAACGGUGAAGGAUGGGGAUGCGUCCCAUUAGGUUGUUGGCGGGGUAACGGCCCACCAAGCCGACGAUGGGUAGGGGUACUGAGAGGUAGGUCCCCCACAUUGGAACUGAGACACGGUCCAAACUCCUACGGGAGGCAGCAGUGAGGAAUAUUGGUCAAUGGGCGAGAGCCUGAACCAGCCAAGUAGCGUGAAGGAUGACUGCCCUAUGGGUUGUAAACUUCUUUUGUGCGGGGGUAAAGUGGUCCACGCGUGGUCCAUUGCAAGUACCGUACGAAUAAGCAUCGGCUAACUCCGUGCCAGCAGCCGCGGUAAUACGGAGGAUGCGAGCGUUAUCCGGAUUUAUUGGGUUUAAAGGGAGCGUAGGCGGGCGAUUAAGUCAGCGGUUAAAUAGUGUGGCUCAACCAUGCCUUGCCGUUGAUACUGGUUGUCUUGAGAGUACUAGAGGUGGAUGGAAUUUAGGGUGUAGCGGUGAAAUGCUUAGAUAUCCUAAAGAACUCCGAUUGCGAAGGCAGUCCACUGGGGUACGUCUGACGCUGAAGCUCGAAAGUGCGGGUAUCAAACAGGAUUAGAUACCCUGGUAGUCCGCACAGUAAACGAUGAUUACUCGCUGUUGGCGACAGACAGUCAGCGGCCAAGCGAAAGCAAUAAGUAAUCCACCUGGGGAGUACGCCGGCAACGGUGAAACUCAAAGGAAUUGACGGGGGCCCGCACAAGCGGAGGAACAUGUGGUUUAAUUCGAUGAUACGCGAGGAACCUUACCCGGGCUCGAACGGAUGGUGAAGAGAUCCAGAGAUGGUGACGCCCUUCGGGGCACCAUUCGAGGUGCUGCAUGGUUGUCGUCAGCUCGUGCCGUGAGGUGUCGGCUUAAGUGCCAUAACGAGCGCAACCCUUGUCGUCAGUUGCCAUCAGGUUAUGCUGGGGACUCUGGCGAGACUGCCACCGCAAGGCGUGAGGAGGGGGGGGGAUGACGUCAAAUCAGCACGGCCCUUACGUCCGGGGCGACACACGUGUUACAAUGGUGGGCACAGAGGGGUGCUACCUGGCGACAGGAUGCAAAUCUCGAAAACCCAUCCCAGUUCGGACUGGAGUCUGCAACCCGACUCCACGAAGUUGGAUUCGCUAGUAAUCGCGCAUCAGCCAUGGCGCGGUGAAUACGUUCCCGGGCCUUGUACACACCGCCC